UACGUAGGUGGCAAGCGUUGUCCGGAUUUACUGGGCGUAAAGGGAGCGUAGGCGGAUACUUAAGUGGGAUGUGAAAUACCUGGGCUUAGCUUGGGUGCUGCAUUCCAAACUGGGUGUCUAGAGUGUUGGAGAGGAAAGUGGAAUUCCUAGUGUAGCGGUGAAAUGCGUAGAGAUUAGGAAGAACACCAGUGGCGAAGGCGACUUUCUGGACAAUGACUGACGCUGAGGCUCGAAAGCGUGGGGAGCAAACAGGAUUAGAUACCCUGGUAGUCCACGCCGUAAACGAGGGGUACUAGGUGUAGGAGGUAUCGACUCCUCCUGUGCCGCCGUUAACACAAUAAGUACCCCGCCUGGGGAGUACGGUCGCAAGAUUAAA
RNAcentral lists this ribosomal RNA (376 nucleotides) under uncultured bacterium. Its description in RNAcentral is "bacterial SSU rRNA". It matches the Rfam family "Bacterial small subunit ribosomal RNA", at positions 524 to 898 of the family's 1533-position model. The record is from RNAcentral.